UCUGGUUGAUCCUGCCAGUAGUCAUAUGCUUGUCCCAAAGAUUAAGCCAUGCAUGUCUAAGUAUAAAUAGUAUACAGUGAAACUGCGAAUGGCUCUUUAAAACAGUUAUAGUUUAUUUGAUAAUUGACAAUUACAUGGAUAACCGUGGUAAUCCUAGAGCUAAUACAUGCUUAAACGCCCGACUUUAUGGAAGGGUGGUAUUUAUUAGACUGAAGCCAAUAUUCCUUGUGUCUAUUGCGGUGAUUCAUAAUAACUGAUCGAAUCUCUUUUUGAGAUAAAUCAUUCAAGUUUCUGCCCUAUCAGCUUUCGAUGGUAGUGUAUUGGACUACCAUGGCAGUAACGGGUAACGAAGAAUUAGGGUUCGAUUUCGGAGAGGGAGUAUGAGAAACGGCUACCACAUCUAAGGAAGGCAGCAGGCGCGUAAAUUACCCAAUCCUGACUCAGGGAGGUAGUGACAAGAAAUAGCAAACCGGGAACCUUAUGGUUUCACGGUAUUGCAAUGAGAACAAUUUAAAACCCUUAGCGAGAAUCAAGUGGAGGACAAGUCUGGUGCCAGCACCCGCGGUAAUUCCAGCUCCACUAGCGUAUAUUAAAGUUGUUGCAGUUAAAAAGCUCGUAGUUGAACCUCUGUCUGGGGCUAGUUUUGGCUUUGGUCAGGCUAGUUCUAGGCAUCCGCCUACAAGACUUAGAGGGCAUUCAGUUGUUCACUAGGAGGAGUAGGCAUUUUACUUUGAAAAAAUUAGAGUGUUUAAGGCAGGCAAUCGCCCGCAUAUAUUAGCAUGGAAUAAUAGAAUAGGACACUUUUCCAUUUCGUUGGUAUUGGAAUCGUGUAAUGAUUAAUAGGGACAGUUGUGGGCAUUUGUAUUUAAUUGUCAGAGGUGAAAUUCUUGGAUUUAUUAAAGACAAACUAACGCGAAAGCAUUUGCCAAGGAUGUUUUCAUUAAUCAAGAACGAAAGUUAGGGGAUCAAAGACGAUCAGAUACCGUCCUAGUCUUAACUAUAAACUAUUCCGACUCAAUGUUUGACUGGCUUAUAUAACCAGUUGAGCGUUGUAUGAGAAAUCAAAGUCUUUAGGUUCUGGGGGGAGUAUGGUUGCAAAGCUGAAACUUAAAGGAAUUGACGGAAGAGCACAACCAGGAGUGGAUUCUGCGGCUUAAUUUGACUCAAUAUGGGGAAACUAACCAGGUUAAAACAAUAGUGGGAUUGACAGUUUGAGAGCGCUUUCUUGAUUGGUUGGGUGGUGGUGCAUGGCCGUUCUUAGUUGGUGGAGUGAUUUGUCUGCUUAAUUGCGUUAACGAAC
RNAcentral lists this ribosomal RNA (1300 nucleotides) under metagenome. Its description in RNAcentral is "SSU rRNA". It matches the Rfam family "Eukaryotic small subunit ribosomal RNA", at positions 1 to 1336 of the family's 1831-position model. The record is from RNAcentral.